This is a long non-coding RNA of Nycticebus coucang (slow loris), 544 nucleotides long. RefSeq lists it as uncharacterized. The record is from RefSeq and is a predicted model, not a curated record. Lineage: Eukaryota; Metazoa; Chordata; Mammalia; Primates; Lorisidae. The transcript has 3 exons.
CUGAAACACCCAUGGCUUCUCCCCGGCUAUUACUACUUAAGAAAGAGAUGGGGUCUCCCUUUGUUGCCCAAGCGAGAGUGCAGCAUAUGAUCAAAGCUCACUGUAGCCUCAAACUCCUGGGCUCAAGAAAUCCUCCCACCCUGGCCUCCUAAGUAACUGAGACUCAGCUAUUAUGUGAUAGCAUCUUGCAAACACGAGAGUGAAGCCACGAGAAUUAUGAAGGCAUCAGCCCUGCCACUGAUGUGCUGCUAAAAUAACACCAGGAACCACCUGCCUCUGGAACUCCUGUUGAGUGCCAUGUCCAUGUCCCUCUGGAUCAAGGUUCUGUUAUCUACAACUGAACAAAUUCCCAACUGAUACAGUAAAGAAGAUAGGUAAAGUUCUGGGCAUAAACAUGAAUGUUUAAAUGCAGGAAGAUUAUCCUCGAGAUACAUAGGUCUCCAGCUUUAAAACAGGAACCUGGGUAGCAGUUACUCAAGUUAAGUCCUUACUGCAAUGAACUUUUUAGUUGUGAUCCUUAUUAAAAGCAUCAUUUGCAUAAGUU